RNAcentral lists this ribosomal RNA (253 nucleotides) under uncultured bacterium. Its description in RNAcentral is "partial 16S ribosomal RNA". It matches the Rfam family "Bacterial small subunit ribosomal RNA", at positions 524 to 776 of the family's 1533-position model. The record is from RNAcentral.
UACGAGAGGCCCAAACGUUAUUCGGAAUUACUGGGCUUAAAGAGUUCGUAGGCGGUAUGAAAAGUAGGGUGUGAAAGCCCUCGGCUUAACCGAGGAAUUGCGCUCUAAACUGUCGUACUCGAGGAACCUAGAGGUGAGCAGAACAGAUGGUGGAGCGGUGAAAUGCGUAGAUAUCUGGAGGAACACCGGUGGCGAAGGCGGCAUCCUGGACCGAUAUUGACGCUGAUGCGCGAAAGCCAGGGGAGCAAACGGG